AAGGGCACCACAAGAACGCGUGGAGCAUGUGGCUUAAUUUGACUCAACGCGGGAAAUCUUACCGGGUCCGGACACACUGAGGAUUGACAGACAUGUGUGUACGUAAAAAUACACACUGAAAGAUGCUAGUUCUUUCAUGAUUAUGUGAUAGGUGGUGCAUGGCCGUUCUUAGUUCGUGGAGUGAUCUGUCUGCUUAAUUGCGUUUCGUAUUUUUAAUGUCUGAUACACGUAUUCCGUGUUUGAUGACUAGUUUCGAAAGCAACGAACGUGACCGUAUCCUUUUAUCGCGCAUGCAUAUGCUAUGCUGCUCUUAAAGGGACCGCUGUUUCUUUCUUUUAAACCAGAGGAAGGUUACGGUAAUAACAGGUCUGUGAUGCCCUUCGAUGUUCCGGGCUGCUCACGUGCUACAAUGAUUAUUUCAUUAAGUGCGAAUGUGUUUCAACCUACUCUGAGAAUGAGCGGGUAAUCAAUUAGAAGUAAUGAUUUCCAAGUGUUAUACGCAAUCUAUGUAGUACCGUAUACAUCCCGUGUAUUUUAUUAUACGCGCGUGUGUGUGUAUGUUUGUCACUACGCGUACCUAUAUCAAUUCAUGGUGGGGAUAGACUAUUGUUAAUUGUUGGUCUCGGUUUUAACUAGGAAUGCCUUGUACGGGUCAUUGGUUCAACAAACCACCCGGAAUACGUCCCUGCCCUUUGUACGCACCGCCCGUCGCUCUUACCGAUGAACUUCGCUAUGAAUCUAUUGGACUGCACUCCCGUGCGGAAAGAUAUAUGAAUAGUGUGGUUUAAAGGAAAGAGAAGUCGUAACAAGGCAUCAGUAGGUGAACCUGCAGAAGGAUCA
This 840-nucleotide ribosomal RNA is filed under the name Elphidium crispum. RNAcentral describes it as "bacterial SSU rRNA". It matches the Rfam family "Eukaryotic small subunit ribosomal RNA", at positions 1160 to 1828 of the family's 1831-position model. Lineage: Eukaryota; Foraminifera; Rotaliida; Elphidiidae. The record is from RNAcentral.